AUUGAACGCUGGCGGCAGGCCUAACACAUGCAAGUCGAACGAGUGGCGGACGGGUGUGUAAUGUCUGGGAAACUGCCUGCUGGAGGGGGAUAACUACUGGAAACGGUAGCUAAUACCGCAUACCAUCAGAUGUGCCCAGACGGGCUUAGCUAGUUGGUGGGGUAACGGCUCACCACAGCGACGAUCCCUAGCUGGUCGGAGAGGAUGACCAGCCACACUGGAACGGAGACACGGUCCAGACUCCUACGGGAGGCAGCAGUGGGGAAUAUUGCACAAUGGGCGCAAGCCUGAUGCAGCCAUGCCGCGUGUAUGAAGAAGGCCUUCGGGUUGUAAAGUACUUUCAGCGGGGAGGCGUUACCCGCAGAAGAAGCACCGGCUAACUCCGUGCCAGCCGCCGCGGUAAUUC
This 406-nucleotide ribosomal RNA is filed under the name uncultured bacterium. RNAcentral's name for it is "partial 16S ribosomal RNA". It matches the Rfam family "Bacterial small subunit ribosomal RNA", at positions 30 to 526 of the family's 1533-position model. The record is from RNAcentral.